AUUGAACGCUGGCGGCAUGCCUUACACAUGCAAGUCGAACGGGCAGCACGGGAGCAAUCCUGGUGGCGAGUGGCGAACGGGUGAGUAAUAUAUCGGAACGUGCCCAGUCGUGGGGGAUAACGUAGCGAAAGCUACGCUAAUACCGCAUACGAUCUACGGGAUGAAAGCGGGGGAUCGCAAGACCUCGCGCGAUUGGAGCGGCCGAUAUCAGAUUAGCUAGUUGGUGGGGUAAAAGCGUCACCAAGGCGACGAUCUGUAGCUGGUCUGAGAGGACGACCAGCCACACUGGAACUGAGACACGGUCCAGACUCCUACGGGAGGCAGCAGUGGGGAAUUUUGGGACAAUGGGCGCAAGCCUGAUCCAGCAAUGCCGCGUGCAGGAUGAAGGCCUCGGUUGUAAACUGACUUUGUACGGUACGAAACGGUGAGGCUCGUAUAAGACUUGCUAAUGAGGUACCGUAAGAAUAAGCACCGGCGUAACUACGUGCCG
RNAcentral lists this ribosomal RNA (490 nucleotides) under uncultured bacterium. RNAcentral's name for it is "bacterial SSU rRNA". It matches the Rfam family "Bacterial small subunit ribosomal RNA", at positions 30 to 510 of the family's 1533-position model. The record is from RNAcentral.